AGGGGGAUAACUACUGGAAACGGUAGCUAAUACCGCAUGAUGUCGCAAGACCAAAGUGGGGGACCUUCGGGCCUCACGCCAUCGGAUGUGCCCAGAUGGGAUUAGCUAGUAGGUGGGGUAAUGGCUCACCUAGGCGACGAUCCCUAGCUGGUCUGAGAGGAUGACCAGCCACACUGGAACUGAGACACGGUCCAGACUCCUACGGGAGGCAGCAGUGGGGAAUAUUGCACAAUGGGCGCAAGCCUGAUGCAGCCAUGCCGCGUGUGUGAAGAAGGCCUUAGGGUUGUAAAGCACUUUCAGCGAGGAGGAAGGCGUUGCAGUUAAUAGCUGCAGCGAUUGACGUUACUCGCAGAAGAAGCACCGGCUAACUCCGUGCCAGCAGCCGCGGUAAUACGGAGGGUGCAAGCGUUAAUCGGAAUUACUGGGCGUAAAGCGCACGCAGGCGGUUUGUUAAGUCAGAUGUGAAAUCCCCGAGCUUAACUUGGGAACUGCAUUUGAAACUGGCAAGCUAGAGUCUUGUAGAGGGGGGUAGAAUUCCAGGUGUAGCGGUGAAAUGCGUA
This 560-nucleotide ribosomal RNA is filed under the name Serratia sp. N11-4. RNAcentral's name for it is "bacterial SSU rRNA". It matches the Rfam family "Bacterial small subunit ribosomal RNA", at positions 137 to 692 of the family's 1533-position model. The record is from RNAcentral. Lineage: Bacteria; Pseudomonadati; Pseudomonadota; Gammaproteobacteria; Enterobacterales; Yersiniaceae.